Molecule: ribosomal RNA, 397 nt
Filed under: uncultured bacterium
Lineage: Bacteria
Description: partial 16S ribosomal RNA
Rfam family: Bacterial small subunit ribosomal RNA
Source: RNAcentral
AUACGUAGGUGACAAGCGUUAUCCGGAUUUACUGGGCGUAAAGGGCGUGUAGGCGGUCUUGCAAGUCAGAAGUGAAAUUCCUGAGCUCAACUCGGGCGCUGCUUCUGAAACUGCAGGACUUGAGUGCUGGAGGGGAUAGCGGAAUUCCUAGUGGAGCGGUAAAAUGCGCAGAUAUUAGGAAGAACACCGGUGGCGAAGGCGGCUAUCUGGACAGUAACUGACGCUGAGGCGCGAAAGCGUGGGGAGCAAACAGGAUUAGUUCCCCUGGUAGUCCACGCCGUAAACGAUGAAUACUAGGUGUAGGGGGUAUCGACUCCCUCUGUGCCGCAGUUAACACAAUAAGUAUUCCACCUGGGGAGUACGACCGCAAGGUUGAAACUCAAAUGAAUUGACGGGG